GUCGACGGUGAAGAGGAGCUUGCUCCUUGGAUCAGUGGCGAACGGGUGAGUAACACGUGAGCAAUCUGCCCUUGACUCUGGGAUAACUGCGGGAAACUGUAGCUAAUACCGGAUAUUACCUUGGAAGGCAUCUUCUGGGGUGGAAAGAAUUUUGGUCAAGGAUGAGCUCGCGGCCUAUCAGCUAGUUGGUGAGGUAAUGGCUCACCAAGGCGACGACGGGUAGCCGGCCUGAGAGGGUGACCGGCCACACUGGGACUGAGACACGGCCCAGACUCCUACGGGAGGCAGCAGUGGGGAAUAUUGCACAAUGGGCGCAAGCCUGAUGCAGCAACGCCGCGUGAGGGACGACGGCCUUCGGGUUGUAAACCUCUUUUAGUAGGGAAGAAGCGACUGGGUUUUCCUGGAAGUGACGGUACCUGCAGAAAAAGCACCGGCUAACUACGUGCCAGCAGCCGCGGUAAUACGUAGGGUGCAAGCGUUGUCCGGAAUUAUUGGGCGUAAAGAGCUCGUAGGCGGUUUGUCGCGUCUGCUGUGAAAACCCGAGGCUCAACCUCGGGCCUGCAGUGGGUACGGGCAGACUAGAGUGCGGUAGGGGAGAUUGGAAUUCCUGGUGUAGCGGUGGAAUGCGCAGAUAUCAGGAGGAACACCAAUGGCGAAGGCAGAUCUCUGGGCCGUAACUGACGCUGAGGAGCGAAAGCAUGGGGAGCGA
This 709-nucleotide ribosomal RNA is filed under the name uncultured bacterium. RNAcentral's name for it is "bacterial SSU rRNA". It matches the Rfam family "Bacterial small subunit ribosomal RNA", at positions 61 to 771 of the family's 1533-position model. The record is from RNAcentral.